This is a long non-coding RNA of Passer domesticus (house sparrow), 708 nucleotides long. RefSeq lists it as uncharacterized. Lineage: Eukaryota; Metazoa; Chordata; Aves; Passeriformes; Passeridae. The transcript has 3 exons. The record is from RefSeq and is a predicted model, not a curated record.
GGGUGACUUCCUGCAGCAACCACUGUACAAGGCAGCCACAGAAGCCCAGCAGAAAGCAGGGAUUUCUCAUGCACACUCACCAGCUCCAUGCACAGCCUCCAAGUUUUCGUCUCUUACAAUUGCUGCUACAACAGCCUGAAUACUCUCGUGUAAAGUCUCAGAUUACAAAGUAGGAGGUAGAAGAAAAAAAAGGGGGAAAAAUAAAGGAACAGGAACCUCAGAAGCAAGAAAAAUACAGUAAGACAUGCUUAACUUGGUGGCACCUGCUGAUACUCUCCAUACUCAGAGUUCACUCCAGCUUGGGGAGCAGGAGGAAUGAGUGUGCAGAAGAGAUGGUGCUGGAUGAACUGCAGUCCUGCCUCAGGGAGCCAUGAAGAUGAGCUGAUGCAGAUGGAGCCACCCAGCAGAAACAACAAACUGGGGGAGCUGCUUCUGGUCACAGACAGAUAACUCCUGCAGCUGAGAAUGGAGUGGGGAGAACAUUGGGAGACACAUGACAGCAGGGCAGAAACAGCUUGGAGAAGCAGAGGCAUAGUAAGAAAGGGCAUAUGGUAAAUAUUUGGUAAGACUUUUAAGGGGAGAUGAGUAGAAUACAAUCCACAAGAAAGGUGCCUGCAGGAAAUUGAACAUACUAAAAUAAACACCAUACAUGGUAUAAAGGGUUAAGGACAAAUACAGAGCAGGCUGUAUGUUCCAAGUCACAUUUGA